This is a long non-coding RNA of Apodemus sylvaticus (European woodmouse), 1605 nucleotides long. RefSeq lists it as uncharacterized. The transcript has 2 exons. The record is from RefSeq and is a predicted model, not a curated record. NCBI's taxonomy places the organism in Eukaryota, Metazoa, Chordata, Mammalia, Rodentia, Muridae.
GUCGUCUCGCCCGCGCGCAGCCCGGCUCCCCUCCCCCGCGGGGAACUGGGGUCCGACCCGGGAGAGACUCGCGGGGCGCGGGCGGCGACAACUUUCCCGCGCGGGCCGGGGAGCAGAGAGGGGGCCGUGACCGCCUGGCCCGGGAGGCAAAGAACUGGAUCUGGCUGCGGGCGACAGCAGGUAGACUUGCGGGGCCCGAAGGCCUGACCCCGGCGUGGUGCAGCGCCCAGGCCACAGCCCCGGGUCUGGACGAGAGGCCUGCUGCUGUCUUGUGCUAGCCCCAGACUGACCUCUAGAUUUGCAGGCCACCGAACCCCUCAGCUGUGCGUGACCUUCCAGCCUGGCCAGGCCCGACUGGCCAUCUGAGUGUCUAGGAAGUGCCUUGGCCCCUGUACCUGUUCCCUUCCCAGCCUGCAGCAGCCGCCCGCCUCUGGCAGGGUGGCCCGAGAAGGUGCCACAGUCCGGUCCCACCUGCUGUCCCUCACCGUGCCUCGGACGGCUGGGGUUCCUGGGGAUGGGAUUUGAUGCCAGUCACAAAUCACAUUGCCAGGGAUUUCCAACUGACCCUGUGCUCUGCCCUGGGGGCUCCUGUUGCCAAGGAUGUUUGUCUUGGGGACGGGUAACGGAGAAGCCCGGCAUGACCACUGGCCUGAGGAGCAGGGCUUAGCUGCUUGUGAGCAAGGUUCACUGCAGUCGUGUUCACAGUGGCUAAGUUCCGCCCCCCGGACCCCACGUCCUCAGGCCGCUGCCGCCCACCCUGCUCUGCCUCCCGCCUGGCCUGGCCUGGCUCUGCCUCUCCCUGGGCUCGGCCUCCUGUGCCUACUGAGCUGAAACAGUUGGUUCCAGUGCACUGGCUCAGUUCAGCAGGAACAGGAGUCCAGCCCCCUAGGAGCUGGCACCCCUGCAGCUGUCUGCCAUGACCGAGACCUGGGGGCGAUGGGGUAAUUGGUCCCACGUGGGCCCAGCCGUCUGCUGGAGGCUCCUCUAGGCCUGCACUGGGUGCCCACCCCAUAUGGCCACACCUUUGGACUUUUGUGGGUCCCAAAUAGAACAGAUGGGUGAGUGGGUGAUCCUUGCGUUAAAGCCCGCUGUGUCCCCUCAGUGCCUGGAGGCCCUUCUCAGUCUGGUGGGGCUCGGGCGCCACCCCUUACACACACCGUCUUUGAAGUCAGUUACUCAAGAGGAAGCUGUUUUAGGCCCUCUAACGGUUAAAUGCCAACUCCCAGCUUCCGUGACAAGGCACUGACCUGACCCAGUGUGCCUAGCACUCCCAUGGGGCCUGCAGCUCUGGUGACAGCGAGGCGGGUCUGCACAGGCUCUCAGGGUUAUGAACAGACGGAUCCAUGCCCACCUCCCCACCCCACGUUGUGCCUGUUGUAAUCUCCAGGCUUGGAAAUUAAAAAGUUGCCUGUACCCACAACUGAGAGUGGAUGUGGACUAGUUGGCAUUGGCACGGGCCGAGUCGCACUUCCCCCCGCCACCCAGUGUCCUCUCCCCACCCUGGGCAGGGGCAAAUGGAAACCUGGCUGGAGGAACAGAGGGUUGAAGCUUGUAUUGGAUGUUGUGCAUAUUUUCCAAUUAAAUAAACGCUCCCCAGCCCCAUUC